RNAcentral lists this ribosomal RNA (253 nucleotides) under uncultured bacterium. RNAcentral's name for it is "partial 16S ribosomal RNA". It matches the Rfam family "Bacterial small subunit ribosomal RNA", at positions 524 to 776 of the family's 1533-position model. The record is from RNAcentral.
UACGUAGGUCGCAAGCGUUGUCCGGAUUUACUGGGCGUAAAGCGUGCGCAGGCGGUCUUGCAAGACAGAUGUGAAAUCCCCGGGCUCAACCUGGGAACUGCAUUUGUGACUGCAAGGCUGGAGUGCGGCAGAGGGGGAUGGAAUUCCGCGUGUAGCAGUGAAAUGCGUAGAUAUGCGGAGGAACACCGAUGGCGAAGGCAAUCCCCUGGGCCUGCACUGACGCUCAUGCACGAAAGCGUGGGGAGCAAACAGG